UACGUAGGGCGCAAGCGUUGUCCGGAAUUAUUGGGCGUAAAGAGCUCGUAGGCGGCCUGUUACGUCUGCUGUGAAAUCCCGGGGCUUAACCCCGGGCGUGCAGUGGAUACGGGCAGGCUGGAGGCAGGCAGGGGAGAACGGAAUUCCCGGUGUAGCGGUGAAAUGCGUAGAUAUCAGGAGGAACACCUGUGGCGAAAGCGGCUCACUGGACCAUAACUGACGCUGAUGCACGAAAGCUAGGGGAGCAAACAGG
This 253-nucleotide ribosomal RNA is filed under the name uncultured bacterium. RNAcentral's name for it is "partial 16S ribosomal RNA". It matches the Rfam family "Bacterial small subunit ribosomal RNA", at positions 524 to 776 of the family's 1533-position model. The record is from RNAcentral.